RNAcentral lists this ribosomal RNA (274 nucleotides) under uncultured bacterium. RNAcentral describes it as "partial 16S ribosomal RNA". It matches the Rfam family "Bacterial small subunit ribosomal RNA", at positions 523 to 796 of the family's 1533-position model. The record is from RNAcentral.
CUACGGAGGGUGCAAGCGUUACUCGGAAUCACUGGGCGUAAAGCGCGCGCAGGCGGCUAUUUAAGUUGGAUGUGAAAGCCUACGGCUCAACCGUAGAACUGCAUCCAAAACUAUUUAGCUAGAGUGUGGGAGAGGAAGAUGGAAUUAGUUGCGUAGGGGUAAAAUCCGUAGAGAUAACUAGGAAUACCAAAAGCGAAGGCAAUCUUCUGGAACACUACUGACGCUGAGGCGCGAAAGCGUGGGGAGCAAACAGGAGUAGAUACCCUAGUAGUCC